GAUGAAGAACGCAGCGAAAUGCGAUACGUAAUGUGAAUUGCAGAAUUCAGUGAAUCAUCGAGUCUUUCAACGCACAUUGCGCCCCCUGGUAUUCCGGGGGGCAUGCCUGUCCGAGCGUCAUUGCUGCCCUCAAGCACGGCUUGUGUGUUGGGCCUCCGCCCCCCGGCUCCCGGGGGGCGGGCCCGAAAGGCAGCGGCGGCACCGCGUCCGGUCCUCGAGCGUAUGGGGCUUCGUCACCCGCUCCGUAGGCCCGGCCGGCGCCCGCCGGCGACCCCCCUCAAUCUUUCCAGGUUGACCUCGGAUCAGGUAGGGAUACCCGCUGAACUUAAGCAUAUCAAUAAGCGGAGGA
Molecule: unclassified non-coding RNA, 349 nt
Filed under: soil metagenome
Description: partial contains 5.8S ribosomal RNA, internal transcribed spacer 2, and large subunit ribosomal RNA
Rfam family: 5.8S ribosomal RNA (bases 1-120)
Source: RNAcentral